Molecule: ribosomal RNA, 298 nt
Filed under: Escherichia coli
Lineage: Bacteria; Pseudomonadati; Pseudomonadota; Gammaproteobacteria; Enterobacterales; Enterobacteriaceae
Description: partial 16S ribosomal RNA
Rfam family: Bacterial small subunit ribosomal RNA
Source: RNAcentral
AAAUUGAAGAGUUUGAUCAUGGCUCAGAUUGAACGCUGGCGGCAGGCCUAACACAUGCAAGUCGAACGGUAACAGGAAGAAGCUUGCUUCUUUGCUGACGAGUGGCGGACGGGUGAGUAAUGUCUGGGAAACUGCCUGAUGGAGGGGGAUAACUACUGGAAACGGUAGCUAAUACCGCAUAACGUCGCAAGACCAAAGAGGGGGACCUUCGGGCCUCUUGCCAUCGGAUGUGCCCAGAUGGGAUUAGCUAGUAGGUGGGGUAACGGCUCACCUAGGCGACGAUCCCUAGCUGGUCUGA